ACGGGACAACGGUUUGGAAACGAACGCUAAUACCCGUAUUCGCCCUAAGAGGGGAAAUGUCAGCCGCUGAUAGAUGUGGCCGCGUCUGAUUAGCUUGUUGGUAAGGUAUGGCUCCCCAAUGCUUCGAUCAGUAGCUGGUCCGAGAGGAUGAUCAGCCACACUGGGACUGAGACACGGCCCACACUCCCUACUGGAGGCACGCAGUGGGGAAUUCACCGCACAACGGGCGAAAGCCUGUACGUGAGCAACCGCCGCGUGAGUGUGACGAAGGCCUCUGGGCUGUAAACCUCUUUUCUCAAUGAAGAAGAUAUUACCGUUCUCUGAGGAAUAAACCCACUGCUAAUUCCGUGCCCGCAGCCGCGGUAACUACCGGCAGUUGUGCAAAGCGUAUCCGGACUUAUUGUGCGUCAAACGUCCGCACGCGGCCUCUUUCCAGUCUGCUGUUCAAGCGCGGAGCUUAACUCCACUCAUGGCCAGUGGAAACUGAAAGGCUUGAGUAUGGUAGGGGCAGAGGGCAUUCCCGGUGCACCGGUGAGAUGCGUACAUAUCGAGAAGAACACCCGUGGCGAAACGCGCUCUGGUAGGGCACUACUGACGCUCAUGGACGAC
RNAcentral lists this ribosomal RNA (609 nucleotides) under uncultured Prochlorococcus sp. RNAcentral describes it as "bacterial SSU rRNA". It matches the Rfam family "Bacterial small subunit ribosomal RNA", at positions 138 to 757 of the family's 1533-position model. Lineage: Bacteria; Bacillati; Cyanobacteriota; Cyanophyceae; Synechococcales; Prochlorococcaceae. The record is from RNAcentral.